Molecule: transfer RNA, 67 nt
Filed under: Marmota monax (woodchuck)
Lineage: Eukaryota; Metazoa; Chordata; Mammalia; Rodentia; Sciuridae
Description: tRNA.Ala
Source: RNAcentral
GGUUAUAGUUCAGUGGCAGAGCACUCACCUAGCAUGCGUGAGGCCCUGAGUUCUAUCCUCAGCACCA